CCACGGUUAAACUCCGUGGUUUCCUCGCG
Molecule: transfer RNA, 29 nt
Filed under: Cobitis striata
Lineage: Eukaryota; Metazoa; Chordata; Actinopteri; Cypriniformes; Cobitidae
Description: tRNA-Leu
Source: RNAcentral